This 557-nucleotide ribosomal RNA is filed under the name uncultured bacterium. RNAcentral describes it as "bacterial SSU rRNA". It matches the Rfam family "Bacterial small subunit ribosomal RNA", at positions 253 to 802 of the family's 1533-position model. The record is from RNAcentral.
UGGGGUAAAGGCUUACCAAGGCAAUGAUGCGUAGCCGAACUGAGAGGUUGAUCGGCCACAUUGGGACUGAGACACGGCCCAAACUCCUACGGGAGGCAGCAGUAGGGAAUCUUCCACAAUGGGCGAAAGCCUGAUGGAGCAACGCCGCGUGGGUGAAGAAGGUCUUCGGAUCGUAAAACCCUGUUGUUAGAGAAGAAAGUGCGUGAGAGUAACUGUUCACGUUUCGACGGUAUCUAACCAGAAAGCCACGGCUAACUACGUGCCAGCAGCCGCGGUAAUACGUAGGUGGCAAGCGUUAUCCGGAUUUAUUGGGCGUAAAGGGAACGCAGGCGGUCUUUUAAGUCUGAUGUGAAAGCCUUCGGCUUAACCGGAGUAGUGCAUUGGAAACUGGGAGACUUGAGUGCAGAAGAGGAGAGUGGAACUCCAUGUGUAGCGGUGAAAUGCGUAGAUAUAUGGAAGAACACCAGUGGCGAAAGCGGCUCUCUGGUCUGUAACUGACGCUGAGGUUCGAAAGCGUGGGUAGCAAACAGGAUUAGAUACCCUGGUAGUCCACGCCG